This is a long non-coding RNA of Manis pentadactyla (Chinese pangolin), 160 nucleotides long. RefSeq lists it as uncharacterized. The transcript is spliced from 3 exons. NCBI's taxonomy places the organism in Eukaryota, Metazoa, Chordata, Mammalia, Pholidota, Manidae. The record is from RefSeq and is a predicted model, not a curated record.
CUUUGGACCCUGCUCUGGAGUGUUGAGAAACUGAUGAUCACUUUGUGCUGUGUGCCCCACAAGACCCCGCAGUGAGACAGCGGGAACUGUGUGCUCAAGGACACCUAAUGGAGUUUGGCCAAGGGUCCCCCUGAUCCUCCAAAUUAUGUGGCAUUUCAAG